GCCAGCGUAGCUUAAUAUAAAGCGCAGCACUGAAGAUGCUGAAAUGGGCCUUUAAAAGCCCCGCAUGCA
RNAcentral lists this transfer RNA (69 nucleotides) under Botia dario (Bengal loach). Its description in RNAcentral is "tRNA-Phe". It matches the Rfam family "tRNA". Rfam says of the family: Transfer RNA (tRNA) molecules are approximately 80 nucleotides in length. Their secondary structure includes four short double-helical elements and three loops (D, anti-codon, and T loops). Lineage: Eukaryota; Metazoa; Chordata; Actinopteri; Cypriniformes; Botiidae. The record is from RNAcentral.